This 422-nucleotide ribosomal RNA is filed under the name uncultured microorganism. RNAcentral's name for it is "bacterial SSU rRNA". It matches the Rfam family "Bacterial small subunit ribosomal RNA", at positions 9 to 429 of the family's 1533-position model. The record is from RNAcentral.
GAGUUUGAUCCUGGCUCAGAUUGAACGCUGGCGGCAUGCCUUACACAUGCAAGUCGAACGGCAGCAUGAUCUAGCUUGCUAGAUUGAUGGCGAGUGGCGAACGGGUGAGUAAUACAUCGGAACGUGCCCUGUAGUGGGGGAUAACUAGUCGAAAGAUUAGCUAAUACCGCAUACGACCUGAGGGUGAAAGUGGGGGACCGCAAGGCCUCAUGCUAUAGGAGCGGCCGAUGUCUGAUUAGCUAGUUGGUGGGGUAAAGGGCCCACCAAGGCGACGAUCAGUAGCUGGUCUGAGAGGACGAUCAGCCACACUGGGACUGAGACACGGCCCAGACUCCUACGGGAGGCAGCAGUGGGGAAUUUUGGACAAUGGGCGAAAGCCUGAUCCAGCAAUGCCGCGUGUGUGAAGAAGGCCUCGGUGUAAG